RNAcentral lists this non-coding RNA (245 nucleotides) under Gregarina niphandrodes. RNAcentral's name for it is "Eukaryotic large subunit ribosomal RNA". It matches the Rfam family "Eukaryotic large subunit ribosomal RNA", at positions 2825 to 2938 of the family's 3401-position model. Lineage: Eukaryota; Apicomplexa; Conoidasida; Eugregarinorida; Gregarinidae. The record is from Rfam by way of RNAcentral.
GAUAACUGGUGUGUGGCAGCCAAGCGUUCAUAGCGACGUUGCUUUUUGAUCCUCCGAUGUCGGCUCUUCCUAUCAUUGAGUUGCAGAAGUCUCAAAGUGUCCCACACACAGUUAGGCGUGAUGCGAAAGGCCGAAUUGACGCAUUGGAUCUCAAUGGGUGAUGGCCAUCCUGCCUGAGAGUUUCUGGCCUGUUCUGGGUCGUCGCAAAUAUUGGAGCCACUCGUUUCGUUUCUCCACAUAUUUUG